This 114-nucleotide ribosomal RNA is filed under the name uncultured bacterium. RNAcentral describes it as "partial 16S ribosomal RNA". It matches the Rfam family "Bacterial small subunit ribosomal RNA", at positions 557 to 670 of the family's 1533-position model. The record is from RNAcentral.
GGCGUAAAGGACGCGUAGGCGGGAUAGUAAGUCUGAUGUGAAAUCCUAUGGCUUAACCAUAGAACUGCAUUGGAAACUACUAACCUAGAGUAUGGAAGGGGGAGAUGGAAUUAG